Molecule: ribosomal RNA, 258 nt
Filed under: uncultured bacterium
Lineage: Bacteria
Description: partial 16S ribosomal RNA
Rfam family: Bacterial small subunit ribosomal RNA
Source: RNAcentral
GCGGCACAGAGGGAAGCCAGGUGGCGACACCGCGCGGAACCCGAAAGCCGUUCUCAGUUCGGAUCGGAGUCUGCAACCCGACUCCGUGAAGCUGGAUUCGCUAGUAAUCGCGCAUCAGCCAUGGCGCGGUGAAUACGUUCCCGGGCCUUGUACACACCGCCCGUCAAGCCAUGGGAGCCGGGGGUGCUUGAAGUGCGUCGCCGCAAGGCGCGCCCUAGAGCAAAACCGGUGACUGGGGCUAAGUCGUAACAAGGUAGC